ACUUAGUGGCAGACGGGUGAGUAACAUGUAGGUAUCUGCCCUUUGGCCUGGAAUAACACGAGGAAACUUGUGCUAAUACCGGAUAAGUCUUUACGGAGAAAGCUUUAUGCACCAUUGGAUGAGCCCGCACUUGAUUAGUUUGUUGGUAGGGUAAUGACCUACCAAGACUAUGAUCAAUAGCUGAUUUGAGAGGAUGAUCAGCCACAUUGGGACUGAGACACGGCCCAAACUCCUACGGGAGGCAGCAGUGGGGAAUCUUGCACAAUGGAGGAAACUCUGAUGCAGCGAUGCCGCGUGAGUGAAGAAGGCCUUUGGGUUGUAAAGCUCUUUCGUCGGGGAAGAAAAUGACUGUACCCGAAUAAGAAGGUCCGGCUAACUUCGUGCCAGCAGCCGCGGUAAUACGAAGGGACCUAGCGUAGUUCGGAAUUACUGGGCUUAAAGAGUUCGUAGGUGGUUGAAAAAGUUGGUGGUGAAAUCCCAGAGCUUAACUCUGGAACUGCCAUCAAAACUUUUCAGCUAGAGUAUGAUAGAGGAAAGCAGAAUUUCUAGUGUAGAGGUGAAAUUCGUAGAUAUUA
This 575-nucleotide ribosomal RNA is filed under the name uncultured Pelagibacterales bacterium. RNAcentral describes it as "bacterial SSU rRNA". It matches the Rfam family "Bacterial small subunit ribosomal RNA", at positions 90 to 699 of the family's 1533-position model. The record is from RNAcentral. Lineage: Bacteria; Pseudomonadati; Pseudomonadota; Alphaproteobacteria; Candidatus Pelagibacterales.